UGACCUCAAAUCAGGUAGGAUUACCCGCUGAACUUAAGCAUAUCAAUAAGCGGAGGAAAAGAAACCAACAGGGAUUGCCUUAGUAACGGCGAGUGAAGCGGCAAAAGCUCAAAUUUGAAAUCUGGUACUUUCAGUGCCCGAGUUGUAAUUUGGAGAAGGCAACUUUGGGGCUGGUCCUUGUCUAUGUUCCUUGGAACAGGACGUCAUAGAGGGUGAGAAUCCCGUGUGGCGAGGAACCCAGUCCUUUGUAAAGUGCUUUCGAAGAGUCGAGUUGUUUGGGAAUGCAGCUCAAAGUGGGUGGUAAAUUCCAUCUAAAGCUAAAUAUGGCGAAAAACCGAUAGCGAACAAGUACAGUGAUGGAAAAAUGAAAAAAACUUUUGAAAAAAAAUGAAAAAGUACGUGAAAUUGUUGAAAGGGAAGGCAUUUGAUCAAAAUGGGGGUUUUCCCCCCUUCCCUUCCCGGGGGGAAGGAAUCUCCAACUCAUUGGGCACUCAGUUUGGUGGGCAGGAAAAUCAUAGGAAUGGCCUGGCUCGGGAAAUUUUAACCGGGGAAAUCUGCCACUGGAAUGAGACCGCAACUUGCCAGGAGUUGGAAAAGGUUUUGCCCGCGCCUGAAACGGACCAGGAUCAACUUUUGCAAGUUGGUGUAACCGCCCCAUUAAGAACUAGUUGGGCUCCAAGGGCACAAACACCCAGGUUAAGAAUUGAAAACAAUUUGGCACAAGAGAUUCCUAGAGGAAACAAACCGGGAGGGGGCUCCGCACUUCUAUGGUGGGAAAAAAACUAUGUGUCCCACCAA
Molecule: non-coding RNA, 798 nt
Filed under: Vanderwaltozyma polyspora DSM 70294
Lineage: Eukaryota; Fungi; Ascomycota; Saccharomycetes; Saccharomycetales; Saccharomycetaceae
Description: Eukaryotic large subunit ribosomal RNA
Rfam family: Eukaryotic large subunit ribosomal RNA
Source: Rfam by way of RNAcentral